This 253-nucleotide ribosomal RNA is filed under the name uncultured bacterium. RNAcentral describes it as "partial 16S ribosomal RNA". It matches the Rfam family "Bacterial small subunit ribosomal RNA", at positions 524 to 776 of the family's 1533-position model. The record is from RNAcentral.
UACGUAGGGUCCAAGCGUUAUCCGGAAUCACUGGGCGUAAAGCGUGCGUAGGUGGAUGCUUAAGUGAGUUGUUAAAUCGUGUGGCUCAACCAUAUCGAUGCAAUUCAUACUGGGCGUCUAGAGGACAGCAGAGGCAAGUGGAAUUUGUAGUGUAGCAGUGAAAUGCGUAGAUAUUACAAGGAACACCAAUGGCGAAGGCAGCUCGCUGGGCUACUCCUGACACUGAGGUACGAAAGCGUGGGGAGCGAACAGG